UACGUAGGGGGCAAGCGUUAUCCGGAUUUACUGGGUGUAAAGGGAGCGUAGACGGCUGUGCAAGUCUGGAGUGAAAGGCAUGGGCUCAACCUGUGGACUGCUUUGGAAACUGUGCAGCUUGAGUGUCGGAGAGGCAAGUGGAAUUCCUAGUGUAGCGGUGAAAUGCGUAGAUAUUAGGAGGAACACCGGCGGCGAAGGCGGCCUGCUGGACCGCGACUGACGUUGAGGCUCGAAAGCGUGGGGAGCGAACAGG
Molecule: ribosomal RNA, 253 nt
Filed under: uncultured Dorea sp.
Lineage: Bacteria; Bacillati; Bacillota; Clostridia; Lachnospirales; Lachnospiraceae
Description: partial 16S ribosomal RNA
Rfam family: Bacterial small subunit ribosomal RNA
Source: RNAcentral